This 501-nucleotide ribosomal RNA is filed under the name uncultured bacterium. Its description in RNAcentral is "partial 16S ribosomal RNA". It matches the Rfam family "Bacterial small subunit ribosomal RNA", at positions 30 to 523 of the family's 1533-position model. The record is from RNAcentral.
AUUGAACGCUGGCGGCAUGCCUUACACAUGCAAGUCGAACGGCAGCACGGGUGCUUGCACCUGGUGGCGAGUGGCGAACGGGUGAGUAAUAUAUCGGAACGUACCUUAUUGUGGGGGAUAACGCAGCGAAAGCUGUGCUAAUACCGCAUAAUCCCUAAGGGGGAAAGCGGGGGACCGUAAGGCCUCGCGCAAUUAGAGCGGCCGAUACCUGAUUAGCUAGUUGGUGAGGUAAAGGCUCACCAAGGCAACGAUCAGUAGCUGGUCUGAGAGGACGAUCAGCCACACUGGGACUGAGACACGGCCCAGACUCCUACGGGAGGCAGCAGUGGGGAAUUUUGGACAAUGGGGGCAACCCUGAUCCAGCAAUGCCGCGUGAGUGAAGAAGGCCUUCGGGUUGUAAAGCUCUUUUGUCAGGGAAGAAACAGCAGCUCUAACACAGCAAGCGAAUGACGGUACCUGAAGAAUAAGCACCGGCUAACUACGUGCCAGCCGCCGCAGUAA